UUCUUUAAUUGAGGACUGGAAUGAAAGGUAGAAAGUAAUGGGAUUGGUUUUAUACAAUAAUUUUGAAUUUAAUUUAAAAGUAAAAAAGCUUUUAUUAUUUCUUGGGACGAGAAGACCCUAGAAGCUUAUAAUGUAAAUAAAUAUAUUUUAGUUGGGGCAAUUGAAUGAAGAAUAUAAUUUUUAUUUAAAGUAAGAAAGGUUAAUUAAGUUACUCUAGGGAUAACAGCGUAAUUUAAUUUAAAAGUUCUUAUUAAUAAUUAAGUUUGCGACCUCGAUGUUGAAUUAAAUUUUAAUUUUUGGUGAAGGAGCUAGAAGUAUUUAGUCUGUUCGACUAUUAAAUUUUUACGUGAUCU
RNAcentral lists this ribosomal RNA (353 nucleotides) under Taito insperatus. RNAcentral describes it as "partial large subunit ribosomal RNA". The stretch from base 105 to 353 matches the Rfam family "Bacterial large subunit ribosomal RNA", at positions 2078 to 2606 of the family's 2925-position model. Lineage: Eukaryota; Metazoa; Arthropoda; Arachnida; Opiliones; Cosmetidae. The record is from RNAcentral.